AUUGAACGCUGGCGGCAUGCUUUACACAUGCAAGUCGAACGGCAGCGCGGGCUUCGGCCUUGCGGCGAGUGGCGCACGGGUGAGUAAUACAUCGGAACGUGCCCUGUAGUGGGGGAUAGCCCGGCGAAAGCCGGUUUAAUACCGCAUACGACCUGAGGGUGAGAGGGGGGGCCCGAAAGGCCUCGCGCUCUUGGAGGGGCCGAUGUCGGAUUAGCUAGUUGGUGGGGUAAAGGCUUACCAAGGCGACGAUCCGUAGCUGGUCUGAGAGGACGACCAGCCACACUGGGACUGAGACACGGCCCAGACUCCUACGGGAGGCAGCAGUGGGGAAUUUUGGACAAUGGGGGAAAGCCUGAUCCAGCCAUGCCGCGUGCGGGAAGAAGGCCUUCGGGUUGUAAACCGCUUUUGUUCGGGACGAAAACAUUUGGGCUAAUACAGCGGGGGGAUGACGGUACCGGAAGAAUAAGCACCGGCUAACUACGUG
This 484-nucleotide ribosomal RNA is filed under the name uncultured bacterium. RNAcentral describes it as "partial 16S ribosomal RNA". It matches the Rfam family "Bacterial small subunit ribosomal RNA", at positions 28 to 507 of the family's 1533-position model. The record is from RNAcentral.